RNAcentral lists this ribosomal RNA (207 nucleotides) under uncultured bacterium. RNAcentral's name for it is "partial 16S ribosomal RNA". It matches the Rfam family "Bacterial small subunit ribosomal RNA", at positions 568 to 774 of the family's 1533-position model. The record is from RNAcentral.
CGCGUAGGCGGCCUGGUAAGUCAGGAGUGGAAGUCCUGCUUUUAAGGUGGGAAUUGCUUUGGAUACUGCUGGGCUUGAGUGCAGGAGAGGUAAGUGGAAUUCCCGGUGUAGCGGUGAAAUGCGUAGAGAUCGGGAGGAACACCAGUGGCGAAGGCGACUUACUGGACUGUAACUGACGCUGAGGCGCGAAAGUGUGGGGAGCAAACA